GCGCGGCUCUUCAUAGCUCACAUGACGGCUUUCUCUCUCGCCUUACCACAUAGCGUUCAAUCUCGCCGUGGAUGCAUCAUUGAAGUGGAGAACCGAAACCGGCAGAGUAGAUUCUUAAACAUCGCGGUACAGUAAUCAGUAAUGAAGACUUCCCUGAUGAAAUAUCAAACACUGCCGUAUCUAGAAUGAUUGCUCUGUCAAACGGACUUUCCUGUCACCACACGGCGUGAACACCCUGCGACGAAAGAGAUGAUUGACGCCCAGUUAUUGAAAUUAAUUGUUAUUGCUGAAAUGUAAGAGCAGCAGCGAGACAGAGAACACAGAGUGAGAAAGAGGCCUUGCCCUGUCUGCCUUUGGAGGAAUGGAAGGGAAUCCCUGGGACAUAAUCAUCCUUAAAGGACGGACAAGGUGAAUCAGGAAGAGAGGGAACGGACCUGUCGACUGGCCCGGGGGGUUAAACGGUGUCGUUUUUAUGGUGCAGAAAUGGAAGACACACACACACACACACACCCACACACACACACACACACACACAUGCAGCAGUGUCUGCGGUCUUCACCACAUAAACCUCGAUGGCACCACCGACGAUGAUGGACGUUGAAGAUGCAAUUCUUGCUGUGAGGAGAUGGAGGACGCCAGAAGAAUCCUGACACACACACUCUCAGAGGCGCGUGGCAGGUGAGCAUUAAGACUGGAGCUAAACAGAUCACGUAGUGUAUAGUAUCUGCAGACAGGCAAAGCUUCGCUAGUCUGUACCUGCAGGCAAAAGUCAAAACCUCAAAGCAUACUUGGAAUUGUGUGUGUCUUUAUUAGAAAGAGCGAGAAAGAAAGAAAGAAAGAGGAAAGAAAG
Molecule: long non-coding RNA, 850 nt
Organism: Hypomesus transpacificus
Lineage: Eukaryota; Metazoa; Chordata; Actinopteri; Osmeriformes; Osmeridae
Exons: 4
Source: RefSeq, a predicted model, not a curated record